GAUGAACGCUGGCGGCGUGCUUAACACAUGCAAGUCGAACGAAGCACUUUACCUGAUUUCCUUCGGGAAUGAUUGUUCUGUGACUGAGUGGCGGACGGGUGAGUAACGCGUGGAUAACCUGCCUCACACAGGGGGAUAACAGUUGGAAACGACUGCUAAUACCGCAUAAGCGCACAGCACCGCAUGGUGCAGUGUGAAAAACUCCGGUGGUGUGAGAUGGAUCCGCGUCUGAUUAGCUUGUUGGCGGGGUAACGGCCCACCAAGGCGACGAUCAGUAGCCGGCCUGAGAGGGCGACCGGCCACAUUGGGACUGAGACACGGCCCAGACUCCUACGGGAGGCAGCAGUGGGGAAUAUUGCACAAUGGGGGAAACCCUGAUGCAGCGACGCCGCGUGAGCGAUGAAGUAUUUCGGUAUGUAAAGCUCUAUCAGCAGGGAAGAUAAUGACG
This 448-nucleotide ribosomal RNA is filed under the name uncultured bacterium. RNAcentral describes it as "bacterial SSU rRNA". It matches the Rfam family "Bacterial small subunit ribosomal RNA", at positions 28 to 456 of the family's 1533-position model. The record is from RNAcentral.